UACGGAGGAUCCGAGCGUUAUCCGGAUUUAUUGGGUUUAAAGGGAGCGUAGGCGGGUUGUUAAGUCAGUUGUGAAAGUUUGCGGCUCAACCGUAAAAUUGCAGUUGAUACUGGCAUCCUUGAGUACAGUAGAGGUAUGCGGAAUUCGUGGUGUAGCGGUGAAAUGCUUAGAUAUCACGAAGAACUCCGAUUGCGAAGGCAGCCUGCUGGACUGUAACUGACGCUGAUGCUCGAAAGUGUGGGUAUCAAACAGG
RNAcentral lists this ribosomal RNA (253 nucleotides) under uncultured bacterium. Its description in RNAcentral is "partial 16S ribosomal RNA". It matches the Rfam family "Bacterial small subunit ribosomal RNA", at positions 524 to 776 of the family's 1533-position model. The record is from RNAcentral.